Molecule: unclassified non-coding RNA, 993 nt
Filed under: Ceratitis capitata (Mediterranean fruit fly)
Lineage: Eukaryota; Metazoa; Arthropoda; Insecta; Diptera; Tephritidae
Description: sex peptide receptor, transcript variant X2
Source: RNAcentral
CGCUUGGUUAACAGAAUGGCGUGUAUGCGAGCGUGCACACGCUCGGGAGAGAAAGCACGAGCAAAGACAACUAGUUAUGUGUUUCAGAGUGCAAAUUGCGAGGAUAUGCUUAUUAACAAAAUGGAAAUCGAUUUCAGUUUCGCUUCAUUUGUAAUGAAUUUCAUACAUUUUUGGGAUGUAGUCAAGUGCACAAAUUGUUAUUAAGAGUUCCGCUUAGUCGGCAGCAUCGAGCGUUGUAAAAGGAAGUUGAUUCGGCAGAGCGCAUUUGCGGAAUAGUUAGCAGUGAGAACGUAAAAGUGACUUUGAGCAAACCGUUGCAAACCGUUGCAAAGCAAACAAAUCUUAGUUUUUACUAAGCUACCUUUGAACGGCUGAACGGAGGGGUUGACAUUCCCUGCCGAGGGCGUCCGCAAUUGGAAAAAUUAUCUUAAUUUUGUAUUUUAAUUAAUUUUCAUCUGAGGCGUUGCUUACCGCGUCUUGUACAAGGGUCGCUCAUGUUUCCAAGGUACGCGACAUGGACACAAAGGUGGAAAAUCAAUAUAGCCUCGCAACUGUAACAGUAUACCUAGAAGCUUGACUACAAUCCAUUACGUAAAAUAAAUCCUUGGUGCAUAAGAGGUUUAUUUCUCAUGAGACGCGUUCGUGAAGCAUAUGGGGCGUGUAUGUUUUGCUCUUCUUUUUGGUUGUUGAGUUCGGGAUUUAUUAUAGAAAUAGUCUGCGUUGGUAAUUAGAGCCUUCAAAUUGCCAGUGGGCAUGCGGCAUUAUGACGUCUGGGAAGUUCAUAACUGCAUGGAGAGGCUUUGGAUGCCGUGUUGGAGAGCGAAGUUCGAGGGUCUUUAGCUGAAACCUAUGUAAUCGCAGAAGGGUAUGCGGCCUUGGUGUCUGUAUAGAAAAUUUACAGCAAAAUUCAUCGUUAGUGUGUGACUGAGUGUGAUUGAGUUGAGUACUAUAGUAUAAGUAUAUAUAUAUAGUAUAGUAUAUGUAUUUUAUUAG